AUCUGCAGUCGAGGGGCAGCGCAGGUAGCAAUACUGGGCGGCGACCAGCAAACGGGUGCGGAACACGUACGUAACCUUCCUUUAAGUGGGAGAUAGCCCGAAGAAAUUCGGAUUAAUACCCCAUAAGAUUGUGGAGUGGCAUCACUCAGCAAUUAAAGAAAUUCGCUUAAAGAUGGGCGUGCGGCUGAUUAGGUAGUUGGUGAGGUAACGGCUCACCAAGCCAACGAUCAGUAACUGGCGUGAGAGCGCGACCAGUCACACGGGCACUGAGACACGGGCCCGACUCCUACGGGAGGCAGCAGUAAGGAAUAUUGGUCAAUGGACGCAAGUCUGAACCAGCCAUGCCGCGUGAAGGAUGAAGGUCCUCUGGAUUGUAAACUUCUUUUAUAUGGGAAGAAACCACUUUUUUCUAAAGGUGUUGACGGUACCAUAGGAAUAAGCACCGGCUAACUCCGUGCCAGCAGCCGCGGUAAUACGGAGGGUGCAAGCGUUAUCCGGAUUCACUGGGUUUAAAGGGUGCGUAGGCGGAUUAGUAAGUCCGUGGUGAAAUCUCCGAGCUUAACUCGGAAACUGCCGUGGAUACUAUUAAUCUUGAAUACUGUGGAGGUUAGCGGAAUAUGUCAUGUAGCGGUGAAAUGCAUAGAUAUGACAUAGAACACCAAUUGCGAAGGCAGCUGGCUACACAGAGAUUGACGCUGANGCACGAAAGCGUGGGGAUCAAACAGGAUUAGAUACCCUGGUAGUCCACGCCCUAAACGAUGAUUACUCGACAUUUGCGAUAUACAGUAAGUGUCUGANCGAAAGCAUUAAGUAAUCCACCUGGGGAAGUACGACCGCAAGGUUGAAACUC
RNAcentral lists this ribosomal RNA (850 nucleotides) under uncultured bacterium. RNAcentral describes it as "bacterial SSU rRNA". It matches the Rfam family "Bacterial small subunit ribosomal RNA", at positions 53 to 902 of the family's 1533-position model. The record is from RNAcentral.